Molecule: RNA transcript, 1720 nt
Organism: Zingiber officinale
Lineage: Eukaryota; Viridiplantae; Streptophyta; Magnoliopsida; Zingiberales; Zingiberaceae
Gene name: serine/threonine-protein phosphatase 2A activator-like
Exons: 3
Source: RefSeq, a predicted model, not a curated record
GCGACUCGACAACCGCUCGUCUCUCCACCCCUCUUCUGCUUUUUUUCCUUUCCAGAAUGACCGAUUCCGAUCACUCCGACGCCGCACCUCCUCCCUCCUCUUCCUCCCCCACCGCUACCCAUUCUUUUCCGGUGAUAUGUUCAUCAUGCGCCGCUUGCGACGGCGCCACGGCCUCCUGGUCAUCCCCUCCUCCGUGGUCCGAGUCCUCCCCUCCCCCGGCCUACCGCCCCAUCCGCGCCCCCGCCAUCAACGCCCCCAUGGCUACGGCUUCCAUCGUCCUCGCCCCCGUCCCCCUUCCUCUUCCUGUCCCCCCUGCCGAUCCCCCCUAUCAUUUUGAGGUCCCGUGCAAACGCAUCUCCUCUCCUGACGACAUCCGCCGCUUCCACUCAUCCACCUCUGGCCGUCACUUCCUUGGCUUCAUUGCUUCUCUCUCCCACUCCGUCCGCGGCCGCAAAAUCUCCGAUCCUGUCCCUUCCCCGCUCUCCGCCACCCUCUCUGGCAUCCUCUCCCUUCUUCAAACCCUCGCCCGAUGGAUCGACGAGAUCCCCCCUCUCCCCCACUCCUCCCGCUACGGAAAUCCAGCCUACCGGACUUGGCACGCCCGCCUCACUGACGAGGGCCACGGUCUCGUUCUCGCCCUCCUUCCCGAGUCCGACGAGUUCCGUCCCGCCGCGGACGAGCUCCUUCCGUACUUUCUUGAUUCCUUCGGCAACGCCUACCGAAUCGACUACGGCACUGGCCAUGAGACCAACUUCGCCGCCUUCCUCUACUGCCUCGCCCGUCUCGAGCUCAUCAAAGAGGAGGAGUAUCCGGCUCUAGUCCUCCUUGUCUUCUCCACCUACCUUGAUCUUAUGCGGAGACUCCAGAUCACCUACAGCCUCGAACCAGCUGGAUCGCAUGGCGUGUGGGGGCUCGAUGACUACCACUUCCUCCCUUUUAUAUUUGGAUCCGCCCAGCUGAUCGAUCACAAGUACAUGAAGCCGAAAUCAAUUCAUAACCAGGACAUUCUUGACAAUUUCUCAAAUGAUUACAUGUACUUGGCGUGUGUGGCGUUUGUGAAAAAGGUGAAGAAGGGGGUAUUUGCAGAGCAUUCGCCCAUGCUCGAUGAUAUCAGUGGUGUUCCUACAUGGAGCAAGGUGAACAGUGGGAUGUUGAAGAUGUACAAGGCCGAGGUACUCGAAAAAGUCCCCAUCAUGCAGCAUUUUCUCUUUGGAUCUCUCAUCAAAUGGGAGUGAAGUUCUCUUCAUCGAGCUGUCCUGUUGACUUACCUUCAAAAUGCUAUCGAGAUUCAGCGUUAUUGAAUCAACACUACUCUGCAAAGUCAUUAUGGUUUGUAAAAAAAAUAUCAGUCCCUAGAUUUGCUGCAAAACUAUUCCAUAGCACGCUCUGUUUAUCUUGCUCUAAAUUUGUUGUUGCUGCCGGGCAAAUUUCUCAGCCAAGAACCAUUAAAUUCUUCUAGCCAUUUCAAAGAACAAUUUGUAGAAUGCUGUGAGUAUGCUAUUGCUUGAGAGGUGGUAUUUUUGCUGGUGUUGCUGCUGUCCUUAUUUGAAUUCUGUCUGCACCCUUGUUCAGUCUCUAAUGUUGGGGUUUAUGGAGAACGGAUGAAAGUAGCAUUCAUUUUGUCAUCAAGCAAUUGGCUGUUAGAGCUAGAAACAAACAGAACAAGUGGGGAUGCGAUUGAAAACUUUACAAAUCGAUAUAGAGCACUUAUUUCGUUCGA